GUCGAAAAUAGCUGGACACGGCUGAGCGACCAACACUUUCACUUUCACUUUACUUUUACCAUAGGUAGUGGCAACCCACUCCAGUAUUCUUGCCUGGAAAAUCCAUGGACAGAGGAGCCUGGUGGACUACAGUCCACGAGGUUGCAAAGAGUCAGACACGACUAAACGACUGAACACACAUUAUAAAAUAGAGCUGGUUCCACAAACAGAAGAAAAAAAUGGAGACCAUUAGGAAGACGUGGCUGGAGCAUGGUGAAGCAGAGGAAUCCUUAUAAAAGACUGGAGGACUUCUUGGAUUGAUUCUAAGAAAAUAGGUGGAGAAGAAAGAAUCCAGAAAUAUUGAGUCUGUAUUAUUUCACGAGGAUAAACUGUUCAACAUAUGAAAUAGCUAAAGAUGACAUGAGGCAUCUUUAUUUAUGAGGCAACUGAUCCUACACCUGACUUCCAUCAAGAAUGUCUAUGCAUCUAGGGGCUAAGCAUCCACU
This 485-nucleotide long non-coding RNA is filed under the name Capra hircus (goat). RNAcentral describes it as "lncRNA (ENSCHIG00000006161.1)". The record is from RNAcentral. Lineage: Eukaryota; Metazoa; Chordata; Mammalia; Artiodactyla; Bovidae.